UCACGCUGUGAUGUGUGAAAUAACGAAUAGGCAAAUAUUUUUUCAAAUAAUUUUUAUUCUCUUCUGCAGCAGAUUCACAGAAAUGAACAGUGUGGCCAUUUGAAACCUUGUGUCCAAUAGGGUCAGGAUUCUGUAAAGGACUGGCUCCCAAAGAAGGCAUAACGCGAACCUUUGCACAAAACCAUAUCUUGAAUUCAUCAGUUGUUCUCAGCAGAACCACUUCACAGUCUUUAAGCGUAGUCUUUUUGCACGUUGCUUUCACACGCCACUGAGGCAUCCAGUAGAGGAGGAGGAGUAGGAAGCCACCAGAACAGAUCACUCCUACAGUAACUAGCACCAGUUUCCAACGACACAAUUCAUAACCAUAGAUCUCCAUCUCCUCCUCCUCUGCCUUAUUGACAAAUUUCUUUUCUUCCUUCUCCAUGUUUAGCAUGAUAUGGAACUUCUCAACGUGAGAUAUGGAAGACCUGUCUGAAGAGCCAGUGUGUGGACAAAUCUCAUCCAAUGGCUGAGUCACCGGCGGCGCCUCAGCUGAGCCCCAUGCCGGCGGGUGGGCGCGGGACCGGCGCGGGACCGGCUCUCCCCCGCCCCACCCCCACCCCCGCCCGCUCGCCCGGCGGCGCGCGCGCGGCUGCCUCGCGAGGCGCGACCGGAUCCGCCGCCAACCGGCUCCACGCGCCGGCCGCGCUGGGCGGGGGC
RNAcentral lists this long non-coding RNA (699 nucleotides) under Gallus gallus (chicken). The record is from RNAcentral. Lineage: Eukaryota; Metazoa; Chordata; Aves; Galliformes; Phasianidae.